CAGCGAUUUUAGGAUAUUUUGUCCAUGAAAGCCACCUGCUUAUUGACUAGUCUUCACUCUAUGGUCAGGGAGUAUUAUUUUGUUUUAUUUAUGUUUAUAAGCUCUUUCUCCCUGUGUAAGUAAUGUACUCGUGUAUAGGAUUUAGGUUUGAGAUACUUUGUAUCUGGCUUUAAUUCGGUCGGAAAACAUAUAACAUGUAAUUUCAGUAUGGAUAAUGUGGACCUUAGUAAGUGAUAACAACAUAUUUAUGGCACACAAUUUGGAUAUUAGGACCAAACCAAUAGCGUUAAAAUAUAGAAAACACCUAAGUACUGUACAGUACGUGUUCAAAUUUCAAGCAAUGUUGAAAAUCUCCGAACAAGUCUGAUUUUCCGCUUCGCUGGUCCAAAAUCUCGCACACUGGGACUGUAUAUAAUUUUACAUUUAUUCAGCAAUCAACACUUCACGACAAUUCUCGCUCUAAUACACAACUAACUUACAACAAUACUUUUAACCAAACAAUGAUGCAUUUCCCUGACGCAUCUUUUACCGAACCACAGGAUGUUUUUCUGUGGUUUUUGCUCCACUGCAACCCACAUUUGCGUCCGUUUACGUUAUUAUUGGUUUCCCGGUUGCUACAAUGUGCUACCUCGAACCUUCAUUUCCUAUGUUAUAAUUAUUAUACUACACUGUACUAUUAACAUUACAAAACAAUUCCUUUAACAAUACAUAUACAAUUUAUGGCGUAACACUAUCUCUGCGCAUACUAUGUAAAUGACUAUUUACGUAUGAUUGGUGUGCUCAACCAUGCGUUAACUAAAUUCCACAACAAGCAAACCUGUUUGCUAUUUUGCGCUGUUAGCUAAAAGCUCCGAUUAAAUGCGUGACUUGAUUAUCUUAAUUACACACAAAUAUGUUUUAGUAGGGCAUACUAAGUCUAUAAGGUAGUCUAAAACUAUGGUAGUUGGAAAAGAGUUCAUUUCCGAAAUGUAGCUAAUAUCUUUGAAUGAAGAAUAAACAAGUUUGUUAUUUUCUGUUCCUAUAGCUAGUUAUAAGUUCCAAUCAGUUGCAUAAGUUAGCUGGUUACCCAUCGUAAAUAACAUAGCUGUAUAGCGAAAUACGCAAAUUGUGGUAGCCCACGCUAAAUGAAUUGCUAAAAUCUAUUUUAAACAGGAUGCCGCUUUUAACACAUUACCAAGCCUAUGUUAAUUAAUGACUUGUUAAUUGUUUAUUAUUAUAUUUGUGCACAUAAGCUAACACAAAAUUCAGUUUCUAUUUGUUAAAUAUUUGUUUUAACAUUUAUAAUGCUUAUAUAUUAGUAAAUUUAACUGUGUUUGCAAACUUUAAACGUAUUUACAUAAACCACAGGAGGGAGAAGACGCGUAGUUUGUAAUUUGUAAAUAUAAGCCUGCGACAUACAAUCAAUUAGCACAUCCUUGACCCUGCGUCUUAUCUGUAAUUUAAAAUGGUAUAGACAUUUCUAUACGUGCGUGUAUGCACGGAAAAGUUAAAUCUUUAUAAAUUUACAUUGCUGGUAAACAUAGCUCCGCAAAUACGCAGUUGAUGAUUCGUUUGAUUUUAGAUUUUUCCGCACUCUGCUGUUUUGUACAAUGUACAAUUUUAUGCACUUGCAAUGACCUAAUGAAAUUUCGGCGCACUUAUUGUAUUUAUGUUGACCUUUGUAAGUAAGGAGUAGAAAUAUUUGUCCUAUAAGGAUUUAAAACAGAUAUUAGCAUACAGUAAACCUAAAAAAAGAAGCAAAUUAGUUCUUUUUGUUGCUAGUUCGUGUUAGGUCACAUCGAACACCAAAAUUAACAGCCCCUCAACCUAGAGCAUAUAUGCCCGUAUGCGCUAUCGCCUCCCUAUAUCCCAUGCACUAGAUUGUUAUUUCAUUUAACAGUUUUAUUAAGCAUCAAUAACAUGUCCGUUAUUUUCGGUUCCUGGUCAAUUGCGUAGGUUGGUUGACCAUUCAAAAGCUAGAAGAAUGUUUCAGCAGUAAAUACGCAAUUUGUGGUAGUUUCAUUAAAUCCGUUACGUAAGCAUUAGUUUGCAGAUCUUGCCUAUAAAAUCCCGUUAAAUUUUUGUUUAUUUCAGUUCUUUAAUGUAGAUCUAUAUGAGUACAUAAAAUUGUGUGUUGGAAACCUUGGAUUAUUUAACAGCUUAUUUAAUUGGAGCAUUCUAACUCAUCUGAAAGAGAAGCUAUCCUGAUUGCAAGUCAAAGUACCAAUGAGUGGUAAAGGGAUUUCGUGUUUUAAUGCGAAUUUUUCUUUCAAAAAAGAUUGGAGCAAUAGGCACCAGAUAUUG
Molecule: long non-coding RNA, 2283 nt
Organism: Dendronephthya gigantea
Lineage: Eukaryota; Metazoa; Cnidaria; Anthozoa; Malacalcyonacea; Nephtheidae
Exons: 3
Source: RefSeq, a predicted model, not a curated record